Molecule: ribosomal RNA, 449 nt
Filed under: uncultured bacterium
Lineage: Bacteria
Description: partial 16S ribosomal RNA
Rfam family: Bacterial small subunit ribosomal RNA
Source: RNAcentral
AACGAACGCUGGCGGCAGGCCUAACACAUGCAAGUCGAACGCUGCAGCAAUGCAGAGUGGAAGACGGGUGAGUAACGCGUGGGAACCUUCCCAGUGGUACGGAAUAGCCCAGGGAAACUUGGGGUAAUACCGUAUAAGCCCCAUGGGGGAAAGAUUUAGCGCCAUUGGAUGGGCCCGCGACGGAUUAGCUAGUUGGUGAGGUAACGGGCCACCAAGGCGACGAUCCGUAGCUGGUUUGUGGGAAUGACCAGCCACACUGGGACUGAGACACGGCCCAGACUCCUACGGGAGGCAGCAGUGGGGAAUCUUGGACAAUGGGCGAAAGCCUGAUCCAGCCAUGCCGCGUGAGUGACGAAGGCCUUAGGGUUGUAAAGCUCGUUUGGCGGGGACGAUAAUGACGGUACCCGCAGAAUAAGUCCCGGCUAACUUCGUGCCAGCCGCCGCAGUAA